This 488-nucleotide ribosomal RNA is filed under the name uncultured bacterium. Its description in RNAcentral is "bacterial LSU rRNA". It matches the Rfam family "Bacterial large subunit ribosomal RNA", at positions 227 to 667 of the family's 2925-position model. The record is from RNAcentral.
AAGAGAGGAUUCCCUGAGUAGCGGCGAGCGGAAGGGGAGGAGCCCAACCGUAACGGCGAACGAGCCAGUCGGCGCUGCCGUUAGGGGGGAAGAACGGAUUGCUUGGAGGGGGCGACUGACCCUUCGCACGGCGAGUUGACGUCAGCCGAACGCCACUGGAACGGGCGGCCGGAGCGGGUGAGAGCCCCGUAGGCGACGGCGUUGAUGAGGGUGUGGAGCGAUUGCGUGAGUACCGCCGGACACGUGACAUCUGGUGGGAAGCGGGGUGGACCACCAUCCAAGGCUAAAUACCGCAGGCGACCGAUAGUGAACCAGUACCGUGAGGGGAAUGGUGAAAAGCACCCCGACAAGGGGAGUGAAAGAGAUCCUGAAACCGUACGCUUCCAGCCGGUCGGAGCAAGUCUUUGAGCUUGUGACGGCGUGCCUUUUGUAGAAUGAGCCGACGAGUGGUUCUUCGUGGCGAGGCUAAGGCAGCGACAGCCGGAGCC